GAAGUCAUAUGCUUGUCUCAAAGAUUAAGCCAUGCAUGUCUAAGUAUAAAUGCUUUAUACUGUGAAACUGCGAAUGGCUCAUUAAAUCAGUUAGAGUUUUUUUGAUAAAUUUUUGCUACUUGGAUACCUGUAGUAAAUCUAGAGCUAAUACAUGCCUCUAAACCCGACUUUUUGAAGGGUGGUGUUUAUUAGAAUUUUCAAACCAAUGAUGAAGUUUACUUCAUGUUUGAUGACUCAUGAUAAAUUUACGAAUCGCAGACUUUAUGUUGGCGAUGUAUCAAUUAAAUUUCUGCACUAUUAACUUUUGAUGUAAGUGUAUUGUACUUACAUGGCUUUGAUGGUUAACGGAGGAUUAGGGUUUGAUUCCGGAGAGGGAGCCUGAGAAAUGGCUACCACAUCCAAGGAAGGCAGCAGGCGCGCAAAUUACCCAAUCUCAAUACGAGGAGGUAGUGACAAUAAAUAACAAUGCAGGGCUUUUUAAGUCUUGCAAUUGGAAUGAGUACUAUUUAAAACCCUUAACGAGAAACAAUUGGAGGGCAAGUCUGGUGCCAGCAGCCGCGGUAAUUCCAGCUCCAAUAGCGUAUAUUCAUGUUGUUGCAGUUGAAAAGCUCGUAGUUGGAUUUGAGGUUUAGGGAUAUGGUCUCAUCUUCGGAUGUUGUACUGUAUUUCUUUAUCUUUUACAUGAGAAGGUAUUCUGUUCUUUAUUGGAUGGUUUAUUGACUCAUGUCUUUUACUUUGAAAAAAUUAGAGUGUUCAAAGCAGGCUUAUGCCUUGAAUACAUUAGCAUGGAAUAAUAAGAUAGGACUUUUGUCUAUUUUGUUGGUUUUUAUGGACUGAAGUAAUGAUUAAUAGGGGCAGUUGGGGACAUUAAUAUUUAAUUGUCAGAGGUGAAAUUCUUGGAUUUAUUAAAGAUUAACUACUGCGAAAGCAUUUGUCAAGGAUGUUUUCAUUAAUCAAGAACGAAAGUUGGGGGAUCGAAGACGAUCAGAUACCGUCGUAGUCUCAACCAUAAACUAUGCCGACGAGAAAUUAGUGAAUGUUUAUUCAUUGACUUCAUUAGCUUCUUCCGAGAAAUCAAAGUUUUUGGGUUCUGGGGGGAGUAUGGUCGCAAGGCUGAAACUUAAAGGAAUUGACGGAAGGGCACCACCAGGAGUGGAGCCUGCGGCUUAAUUUGACCCAACACGGGAAAACUUACCAGGUCCAGACAUAAGAAGGAUUGACAGAUUGAGAGCUCUUUCUUGAUUUUAUGGGUGGUGGUGCAUGGCCGUUCUUAGUUGGUGGAGUGAUUUGUCUGCUUAAUUGCGAUAACGAACGAGAC
Molecule: ribosomal RNA, 1318 nt
Filed under: metagenome
Description: SSU rRNA
Rfam family: Eukaryotic small subunit ribosomal RNA
Source: RNAcentral